GGCUGAUUAGCUCAGCCAGUUGAGCAUGGUGCUAACAACGCCAAGGUUGCAGGUUUGAUUCCUGUGCGGUCC
Molecule: transfer RNA, 72 nt
Filed under: Apaloderma vittatum (bar-tailed trogon)
Lineage: Eukaryota; Metazoa; Chordata; Aves; Trogoniformes; Trogonidae
Rfam family: tRNA
About the family: Transfer RNA (tRNA) molecules are approximately 80 nucleotides in length. Their secondary structure includes four short double-helical elements and three loops (D, anti-codon, and T loops). Further hydrogen bonds mediate the characteristic L-shaped molecular structure. tRNAs have two regions of fundamental functional importance: the anti-codon, which is responsible for specific mRNA codon recognition, and the 3' end, to which the tRNAs corresponding amino acid is attached (by aminoacyl-tRNA synthetases). tRNAs cope with the degeneracy of the genetic code in two manners: having more than one tRNA (with a specific anti-codon) for a particular amino acid; and 'wobble' base-pairing, i.e. permitting non-standard base-pairing at the 3rd anti-codon position.
Source: Rfam by way of RNAcentral